AAUCAUUGUCCUCGUCUCUCACUUUCUGCUGGCUCUAACCAUAGCCUGAACUUCUCUGCUGCCUUCUAUUAAACAAACUAUAUAUAAAUGUAUAUAUAUAUACACACACACAUAUAUAUAUAGUUCUUGAAACUAUAUAUAUGUAUAUUUCUUGUGUUAACUUUUCCUUCCAAAACAUGCUCUAUGAUAUACUAUAUAUAUAAAACAACAAACUAUAUAUGUAUGUAUAUCAGAUAACUUUCAUUAUUAUAUAAAAAAGAAAAUUGUUGCAAAAGUUUCUUUUGUCCUUCCAAUGUGCCAAUUACUAUUAUACGUGUGGUAUAAUUUACAGGGAUAAAGAUGUACGUUCACAUGUAUAAUUUCCAGGGGUCAUCAGUAAAAAUUUGGGGGUGCUCGCUCUCAAUAGAUGUGUUUUUAUUUAUUUAUAAUUUAUGCAUGUGCUAUUAAAUGAAUAUAUUGUUUAUAUAAUAAAACAUACUCCAAAAUAAGAUAAAGAUUAAAUUAGAACAGACAGCUUUCUUCUGGCUCUUCUCUCCCCAGUGGUUCCCUAGCACCAGCUCUUCCUACAUAUAUUAACCAACGAUUCAAACAUGUUGUUUUGCUUUUAGAGAAGCUGUUGUCCAGCAGCAUUUAACUUAUAUGCGGAAGUCCACACGCUGGUCUUAAUGAGUUAGCUGUGGGUGGGGACAGCCUUUCACUGUACGAGGAGAUACUUGUCUGUCAGUGAGGAAAAACCUUACUUCUUCACUGUUCAUGGACAACGGCUUAAUUCAGGGUUGGCAAAUAAGUUUUGUCUCACGUGUUGACUUUAUUGAUUCACUGUGUUCAGAAGGAGUCUGAGGCUAGGUCCAGGUUCAUUCAAUUAGUGAGGUCCGCCCUGGAUGAGAGGUAGAGAAGAUGAGAAGUCAUAGCCACCCCCCUACUGCACCCAGUGAGGUGAUUGCACUUUAAGUGGAGCUGGCUGAAGCCUCAAAAACCAAGGGAACGUCACACUCGCAAGUGGGAGAGGAGAUAGAAGGAGGAGCACUUCCUGCUCCAAAGCACAAAACACAUGAUUAUGGCAGGCUUUGGAAGUAUCAGAAAUCAAAUUCACUGCUAAUGAGGCUGUUUGGAAGAAUCAAGACUCCAGAGAAUGGUUAAGUAGAAGCCAGAGGGCCAAGCUAAAUUGUCCAGUAACCUGACUUAGAGUUAAGGGUCAGGAAAUUGGGCUACUACCCAUCAGAUAGGAGGAGCAAGCUGGGUCCUCUGCUCCUUCCCGUUUUGAAUAGUGAAGCAAGAGCAAGUCCAAAGAGACAAGGUGGAUGGGGAUAUGUAUGUAUACUCACAUAUAUGUGACUCAUACUUAUGUGUGUGUGAGUAGAUAUACACACAUGGAGAUCAUAUGCGUCUCACUUCAGUAUAGCUACAUGUACUUGAGGAUCAUAUGCAUCUCACUUGAGUAUAGACAUACACAUGUGCAGAUCAUAUGCAUCUCACUUGGGUAUAGAUACACGCACAUGCAGAUCAUAUACAUCUCACUUGGGUGUAGAUGCAUGCACGUGCAAAUCAUAUACAUCUCACUUGAGCAUAGACACACGCACGUGCGGAUCAUAUGCAUCUCACUUGAGUAUAGACACACGCACGUGUGGAUCAUAUACAUCUCACUUGGGUAUAGAUACACGCACGUGCAGAUCAUACGCAUCUCACUUGAGUAUGGGUACACACAUGCAGAUCAUAUACAUUACACUUGCUUCGUCUAUAUUACAUAUGGAGGAGAACAACUUAAGGAAAGAGCCAGAAGCCCUAUUCCCUUGCUGGUCUGCAUCAGAUAGUCGUCUUUUCUAACUAAUUAGAAGCAAAUGACUAAAGGCAGCCAAUUAAAACUCAAGAU
This 1870-nucleotide long non-coding RNA is filed under the name Homo sapiens (human). RNAcentral's name for it is "non-protein coding lnc-NPVF-10:1". The record is from RNAcentral. Lineage: Eukaryota; Metazoa; Chordata; Mammalia; Primates; Hominidae.